AGCAUUUUCAACAAAUGGUGCUGGCACAACUGGCGGUUAUCAUGUAGAAAAAUGUGAAUUGAUCCAUUCCUAUCUCCUUGUACUAAGGUCAAAUCUAAGUGGAUCAAGGAACUCCACAUAAAACCAGAGACACUGAAACUUAUAGUGGACAAAGUGGGGAAAAGCCUCGAAGAUAUGGGCACAGGGGAAAAAUUCUUGAAUAGAACAGCAAUGACUUGUGCUGUAAGAUUGAGAAAUGGGACCUCAUAAAAUUGCAAAGCUUCUGUGAAGUGGACAUUUUAAGAGAACCUGUUAUCUUGACAUUUUCUACAGAACUACAAGGUCAUGAUAGUAAACUUUCUGUAUUCAAGAACAUAAAAGAGACCAAUAUGCCAAAAUGAUGAGAGAAGGAGAAUAAUAAGUGAUAACAUUGGAAAGUCAACCAAAGGUUUUAUCACUGAGAAACUCGUGGGCUGGAAGGAGGAGUUUGAACUUUCAAAAUGUUAGAAAAAAAUUUUUAGAGAGUUUGCUUUGUUUUCUUGCUUUCUUUUUCCAAAAUAAGAUGAAUUCAAUGACAUCUAGAAAUUGUAUUCACAAGGCUUUUGAAGAACUGAUAUUUUUAAUUAAACCUAGUAAUACUAUAGGACCUCAGGUAUAUAUCUUCUUCAUAGUAUAUCUUCGGGUAUGAUUGGCAUAUACAUGAACAUACACAUUUAUACAAAGAAGAAAGAGAUGUAGGAAGAUGAUAAUAAUGAUAGUUUUUCUGAGGAAAGUUUUAUUCAUAACUGAAGUGGAAAGUUUUGGUUACAUAAUGGCAUCUAGAAUUUAAAUUCUGUUAAUGCCAUUUAUAAGAAAUGGGGCAGAGAUAGAAUAACUUGAUCUUAGAAAAAUAUUAGGUGAUAAAGCUUCAAUUUUAAUUCAGGCAGUCAGGCUUUAUAUUUAAGCUUCAUGCAAAGGAGAUAAAAGUAUGUAAUUUUCAUCCAUAAUUAUUUAAUUACCCUUAAGUUGUGAAGGGAUCUCUGUGAGUGACUGGGGGUGGGGGGUGCAAUGCAUUUAUUGUUUUUUUGGAGUAACAUUUACUCAAGUUGUAGUCUGCUUUUUUUUCAGGAUUUAUUAGUGUUCAUUUAUAUACUGUUCAUAUAUAUUUGUUCAUUCACUAUUAUAUUUAUAAUUUUAGCAAUAUUAUCACAUACCUCACCAAUAGUAUUAAAAAAUUUUGCCACUGGUAGGGUACCAGUGAAAUCUUCACUUGAUUUCUAAGAAAACAAGAUUGUGGCUUAUGUAGUAGUUCUUGGAAUCAACUUUUCUCUUGUGUUAGUCGAGGAGAUUCCUGCUGUGUCACAGACCUCAAAUACUUUUCUUCUGGGGAGAAAGCAAGUCAAGAAUGUAUGUUUAUUCCUUCUCAGAUUUCUGUUACCAUCUCCCAGGGGAAGUUUUAGUCACUCUCUAGCUGUAAAUCUGACAUUCUGUUACUCUGAAUAAAUUGUAUCAAAUGAAUAGUCUUGAAGCUACAGGUAAAAUGUCUAAGGGAUAAGUACAUUCUUUUUCAUUUUUAACGUGCUGCCACAAAUUUCCAUAUAUGUUGUUUAUUAUUUUUUUCCUGUUUAUAAGUUUUUUUUUAAGUAAUGACAUACCUUUUGAUAAUUCAUACAUUCUUAAGGGCAUUUCAGAAAACCAUUUUGAAAAAUAUGUCAUCAAAAGAUUUGGAUGAAUUCUAGGUAGGGAAAUGAGAUACCUCUAGGCAUUAUAAUUUUACAUGUAGAUAGAAGGCUUGUUUAACGCUUACUUGCGUGAGUCUGAAUUGGUGGGCAACUUGGAAUAUUGGCAGCACUGUUUCAUACAGUUGUUCAGGGACCUUGCACCUUCUAUUUUACCAUUCUUCCAUCUCCAGUGAUUGUGUUCUGUCUGAGAGAUGAAUCUGGAUUAUCAUCCUGCUUUGUGGGGAAAACCAAAACAAACAAAUGAAAAUUG
This 1950-nucleotide long non-coding RNA is filed under the name Mus musculus (house mouse). RNAcentral's name for it is "predicted gene 43258". The record is from RNAcentral. Lineage: Eukaryota; Metazoa; Chordata; Mammalia; Rodentia; Muridae.